UCUUGCCGUGAAUCUUGGUCGACGUGUUUAAUUUACCCUCGUUGUCUGUAAAGGCCGGCAUAUACCAUUUCGAUGUAGUUAAGAUAGAUAUUUGUUGAAAAUGCAUUAAAAU
RNAcentral lists this small nucleolar RNA (112 nucleotides) under Caenorhabditis japonica. RNAcentral describes it as "snoRNA CJA48653". It matches the Rfam family "Nematode snoRNA ceN105". Lineage: Eukaryota; Metazoa; Nematoda; Chromadorea; Rhabditida; Rhabditidae. The record is from RNAcentral.